UCUCCGUAGGUGAACCUGCGGAGGGAUCAUUACUGAGUGAGGGCUCACGCCCGACCUCCAACCCCAUGUGAACCGCAACUGUUGCUUCGGGGGCGACCCUGCCGUUUCGACGGCGAGCGCCCCCGGAGGCCAUUAAACACUGCAUCAUUGCGUCGGAGUUAAAGUAAAUUAAACAAAACUUUCAACAACGGAUCUCUUGGUUCCAGCAUCGAUGAAGAACGCAGC
This 225-nucleotide unclassified non-coding RNA is filed under the name uncultured fungus. RNAcentral describes it as "sequence contains ITS1, 5.8S rRNA gene". The stretch from base 177 to 225 matches the Rfam family "5.8S ribosomal RNA", at positions 1 to 49 of the family's 154-position model. Lineage: Eukaryota; Fungi. The record is from RNAcentral.